GCAGCGACUGCCAGCAGUGGCUUCCAAUGUCACUCUGAGCGUGCCAGCAUCAGGGUGAAGAAUUCAAGCUGCCUUUGGAAGCUCUUUGAAGACAGGGAGUGCAGAGACUGGAAUUACAGCUACCUUUGGGUUUUUUUCCUAGUGAUGGACUCGAUAAGUGUUAGUGAUGGCUAAAUUCACUGUGUGAGAGUGCCUUCCUUUAGCUUCUUCUGUGCAGAAGCCCUUUGGUCAUCCUUGCCUAGGUAUUCUCAGCUGAUCCAUCUGUCUCAAGCCACAAAGCUGGCUGCUCGUGAUGCAGAGUGUUGCCUUCUUUAAUGCCACUGUGGAGACAUUGGCAUGACUUAAACUUACCCAGUGAAGCACCUGGGUUUAGGCAGGUCUUUGGUUAGGUAUAGCCAAAGGUUUGACACAACUGUCCAGAAACUAUGGGCAUGAAAACAACUCAUCUUUGUUCAACAAGAUGCAGGAGUAGGUUGAAUGAAUUCUUGACAUACCUUAACGCUGGAGCUGGAGUUUGAACAUCACACUCAGCUGGAACUUUGCCUUUAUUUUCAAGGUGUUUGCAGCUGCAAAGAAUAGCAGUAGUUAUUGGCAGGUAGCCUCAGGUAAGAAACAUUUCAAAUCCUCUGGUACAGAGAUAGUUUUUGAAAACUAUCCCCACCUGUCACAACCGUGUAUUGCAAUCCCAUCAGCGUGUGUGCAGAGCUGUCUCUGUUCCCUCCCAGGCUGUCACCUGCAGGGUUCAGGGCAUUGUGGAAAAUUGCACGAACUGAGUAGGGACAUGUUUUGUUUGUCUUGGUAGGAAAGUGGCAAACGACCAGAGCAGGAUUUGCAGUCUGUGUUGCAUAAGGCAGUCACUCACCUUCAGCCCUUCCUGUGCCUCAGGCAGUCCGGACCCACGAUCCCUCUUUGCUCUCUUCUUUUGCCUUCACUGUGAGCCCCACGGGAGGCUGCAGGGAAGUCAAACUGUGCAGCAGCAUUUGCUGUAUGUAACAAUAACAGUGUUCAGCAGUGAGACCACCUCGCUGUGCCUGAGUAAUGAGAGAUGCUCUAGUAUUCUACCUGAUGCUGCAGGUACUUCCCUGUCCUAUGGAAUCACACCAGGCUUAUGCAGAGGUUCUCUGGUGAGUGUUCAAUUGGCCAAUUUCUGACUGUGUGACCUCACUAAAUUAAAGCCUUUUGACUGUUGGAGGAAUGAAUCUGCCAUGCUGCUAAACAGACAGAAGCUUUUUCACAAGACAUCUGCUCCCAAAGCAAAUGAAAUCUGCUUUGAUUUUCAUGGCCUGUCGAGGGAUGAGAGCAGCACUGCAAGGAAGCAUACAGGAUUGGCUCAGAAACAGUUUAAAGAGGAUACAAGAGCAGCCCAGGUGUUGGCAUUUGAGAGGAGAAAGAGAAAAUGCAAGUGACCUGUUAAAGAAUAUGUCCUACUCACAAAGCCUCCAGGUCUCAUGCUGCAAAGGGGUAUAAUUGCAGUCAGAAUGGUUUUAGAAACAGAAUAACUCUGCAUUUAGUAUUACUCUGACCUGACAGGUUUUUUUGGCAGGGGAAGGAAGGCAAGUGUCCUACUGCUGUUCAUUGUUCAGUCACCUCUUUGCUGGCUGUUUGAUCACAUCUACUUUGAGCUCUCAUCUGAAAUGUCUCAGCUGGAAAGUGCUGGAUUUAUGGAGCUCUUGCAAUGGUGAUAUAAGAAAUGUUCUCUCAGGAUGUUAUGGUCCUGCUGUCAAGGCCUUCAUUGGAAUCCCAGAGUAACUCUGGUGCAGCUGAUGGGUUACUGUCGUGUAAGUGAAGGCAGCAUUCAUCUCCUGGACAUCACCUUUUGGCCUCUUCUGCUGGCAAAUGAACCUGAUGUAAUAUUGCAAAAACACAUCCUUUGAGUGAAAGUGAUAAGAAAGACAAAUGUUUGACUUUAGCCAGGGAAUUUAAAACUCAGAGUGCUUUGAAGAUUGCUGAGUUCUGCGCUGUGUUAGUCGUCCAUAUCUAUCUAAGAAAACACUCAUUUCAUCACAACUGGUGACAUAAAUUCAGACUUGUGAGCAAAUGGCUAGGUUGAGUUAAAUCACCUCUCUAUCUGCUAAUGGCAUUUUUGCUUUUGCUUCAUGAUGAAGGUUAUCUCCCUGUUUGGAAAUUAUAACCUACAACUGUUAGACAGCAUUAUCUGCAGACUUGGGUGAGAUAAUUUGUAUGAAAAAUCCAGGGAAUCUGGAGCUUAUUGGCUUCCAUUCACAUGAAACUGAAACUCUUCGGGUCUCCGGCCGCCCUCACAUAUUCCUGCUGCUAUACAGUGGGGAAGGAAUAGCAGCUGGCAGAUGAUGGAUAGCAAGGCUGCAGCCCAAACUAAGGUUAGCAGUGACAUCACUGAUAGAAAGGGAAGCAGCUUGAGCUGUUUAUAAAACUCCAGUUGGGAAGUUUGCCCCAGACUGCAUUAGCCUCUGUUCGCUGCCUACCCUGCUUUUCCCCACUCAAAUUCCAAGCUCCUUCAAGGGAAACAAACAUCUGCAGAGACACAAUGUUAAUUGUUCUGCUUAGGGCUGCUGUUUACAUUUUUGGUGCAAGCAAGUCAAAGCAUGUCAAGGCUAUCCUGAUGGCUAAAACAAGCCAGAAAUCUUGUUCCGGCUGAAAUAACACGGGCUGGAUUCUGAUCUCACCUACCAAACCUUCUGGGAUUGGCCAUGGAGGGUGGAAAUCAGAACCUGCACAAAUCAGAGGGUGCAAAACAAAGUAGCACAGAGAAAAGGGCACCUGCCUUCCCAAAGGUCCCAUCCAGCACUGCCAUCACAGGAGACACUUCAGCUGCACUGAUCAGGAUCCAUUGGCACCAUCCAUGUCCUUGAGGAGAGGAUUCUCCAGCUGGACGGAGCCACCAGAGCAUCUCCCUGAUUUAUAGGAGCUGGUUCUGUUCUGGCUGAGGGUGACACGGCCACAGCAGCUCUGUGGCACUGCAGGGGCACAGAUACAGAGCUGGGCAAUGCCAUGGACCUGUCAGGAUGAUUUAUGCUCAGCCAUGUUUGGAGAAGCAAAUGCAUGUAUCAGAUAAAACCAUAUUUAUCUCUUUUCCCCCCUUCUUUUUAUUCUAAAAUGCUGGAGGGGUUUCCAGCAACAGAUAAAAUCAUUUUCACAAAACUGAAAUGCAAAAUUUGUUUCAGAGCUUGUUAGGUCCUGAAAUCUGUAGGUGGGGUUGGAAAAAUAGCAUUCCCAGCUCUUCCCCAACAACAAAGCUAUUAGAGCCUUGAUAAAUGUUAUCCAGGGCUGCUGUUUGUGCCAUAUUCCCAACAGCAAAUGCAAGCAUCUUCAGGAUCCAACAGGCUCCCAAGGAUAAGCCUAGCAAUUCAACUAAAAAUAAAUAUAAUUAACCCAUAAAAAGAAAAAUGUCUGUAAGAUUAUCAUCCUUGCAGCUGGUUGGAAUGUGCUUGGGAAAUAUUUUUGUAGCUAGUUGCAAAUCAAAUAUGUUUUACAUGGAGACAGUGUUGCCAAAAUAACACAAAACAGAUUUAUUAAAUAAAAGAUGUAAAUGGAAAAAAGAUAAAAUAAAAAAAUGGAAAAAAUA
Passer domesticus (house sparrow) is the source of this 3544-nucleotide long non-coding RNA. RefSeq lists it as uncharacterized. The record is from RefSeq and is a predicted model, not a curated record. The transcript is spliced from 2 exons. Lineage: Eukaryota; Metazoa; Chordata; Aves; Passeriformes; Passeridae.